GACGGAGGGUGCAAGCGUUGUUCGGAUUGACUGGGCGUAAAGGGCGUGUAGGCGGUCGGCCAAGUCUGAUGUGAAAGCCCGAGGCUCAGCCUCGGAAGUGCGUCGGAAACUAGUCGGCUGGAGCGCGAUAGAGGAGGGUGGAAUUCCUGGUGUAGCGGUGAAAUGCGUAGAUAUCAGGAGGAAUACCGGCGGCGAAGGCGGCCCUCUGGAUCGUUGCUGACGCUGAGACGCGAAAGCGUGGGGAGCAAACAGG
RNAcentral lists this ribosomal RNA (253 nucleotides) under uncultured bacterium. Its description in RNAcentral is "partial 16S ribosomal RNA". It matches the Rfam family "Bacterial small subunit ribosomal RNA", at positions 524 to 776 of the family's 1533-position model. The record is from RNAcentral.